Anguilla rostrata (American eel) is the source of this 1284-nucleotide long non-coding RNA. RefSeq lists it as uncharacterized. The transcript has 3 exons. The record is from RefSeq and is a predicted model, not a curated record. NCBI's taxonomy places the organism in Eukaryota, Metazoa, Chordata, Actinopteri, Anguilliformes, Anguillidae.
UAGCACAAUGUGAUGUCAGCUGUGAAAACACGUGAUGCAAUCACACAAUAUGGCCUUUGCAGCUUAUUUUUUACACGCCGGAAGCUGUCUUGUGUCAUUGAAUUUUUAAAAAAGCCUAUCAUGGUCUGGCAAGAAAGAUAAUUUUAAUUUUAAUUUUGCAGAAUAAAAAGUUGUGAACGAAUAUCUAAGGCAGAAGGCUUCAUGCUCAACAACAAGGAUCCACAUCUGUCAAACCGGGGCCCAGGAGAGUGAGACUAUGGAGGACGGCAAAUGCCAGGCGACCAGUGCCCAUAGACUGCAGGGUUCACGCAGAGCUGUAAGGACAGAUGAAGGAAGAGGGAGAAGCGGUUGAUUCAUCUAUUAAAAAGGUCUGGGAAAAGCAAGGACUUUUUAUAAGUUUAAGUGCAAGAUCAUCAUGAUUUGAUGCUUUUAAUUUAGGUAAGGAUUACUUCUAAAGAUAAGGUGAUGUUGAUUGCAGUCAUUAGCAUAUAAGUAUUAAGAAAAGAGCAUUUCCUCCAGCCCAAGAGUUUGUAGACUUUGCAUUUAUGAGUAUUCCCACGUAUACAGAAUAAGUAUGCUGCUGAGGUUGGUGUCAAGCAUGCAUAACAAUAAGAUUUAUAUCAAGCUCAUUAGCAUACAAGAAUAAUAUCUCGCUUGUAUGGUUCCCCGGAGUUCUGGCUAAAUUCCCAACCUGGCUUUCACAAUCUGGCCAUCUAAUCAUCCCCCUGAUUAAUUGAUUUAAUAAUCCCUCCCUCUCCACCUCAGCUCAUGUAUGGUGUGUAUUCUGGGGGAAAAAUGGCUGCCGUGCAUCACCCAGGUGGGUGCUGCAUAUUGGUUGUGGUUCAGGAGAUGACCUCCCCUCUCUCUGUAAAUAGUUUGAGAUCUUGGUAGAAAUUGUUGUAUAUAUUUAUAUAUCCAGGGUAGCUGGUGUUUUUUUUUGGUGUUAACUUUUUGGUAGCAAGCUCAUUAGUGAACAUUUUUUCUGGAGAUGGACACUACUUAAAAUUUAAUGCAUUUGCCUAAAAUUGCCUCAUUCAUUUAAUGUAUUCAUACUUGUCCUGUCUAUCCUCUAAAUUAAUUUACAUGUAGGUGUUUUUCCUUUUAACAUGAAUCUUUUACUUUCAUUUUAACAUCACAUAGGUAUUUAUAUUAAUAAUUUUGUAAUGUGAGCAUGUCUCCAAAUGUAAUUCUUUAUUGGAGUGCUUCUAACCUUGUGCAAUACUGCAUAACAAAACAAAUAAAGAGAAAAUGAAUUUGAUAGUGUGAAACUAUAAAUAUUAACAU